UCUCGCUCCGAUCGUAGAGCGGAAUUCGCAACCCAGCCAUGCAGCAUGCGCGAGGCGAAGCUCGUGGCCGAGAGCGUUU
Molecule: small RNA, 79 nt
Filed under: Sinorhizobium meliloti 2011
Lineage: Bacteria; Pseudomonadati; Pseudomonadota; Alphaproteobacteria; Hyphomicrobiales; Rhizobiaceae
Description: putative ncRNA
Source: RNAcentral